GUCUGCGUCUCGGUGGCAGGCAGGGGUGAGCCCAGCCACUCACCUUCCAGGAAGCGUGGAUUCCUGGAAGUGAGGGGAACCGCCGUCAUUUCGCAGGCAGCGGCAGCGGCACGCAGCCUUCUUGGACCAGACUGGAGUUCCAGGUUUGGGAGGGUGGCUUUCUGCUGCACUACAGAAAUGCUACACCUUGGUGAUGGACCUUUAUUCCCCAGGAGCACUUUAGGUAGAGGAUACGUCUAACAUUCGGGGGAGAGCAGAAGCCCCUAACUAGCAGCUGGCACAAAAAGUCUGGUGUCAAUACUCUGCCACCCCAAGAGCAUCCGGGCAUUGGGAGUGGAGGCAGUGGUACCUUUGUUAUCCCUAAGGUUCAAAGACUCCUUGAGACAAAGCUCCAGCUGCCGCCGACCCCUCUCUGCCCCCUCUGCGGCCCUCCCUCCUUUCCCUCUCCGCCGCAGCCUGCUUACCCUGCUCAGUGUCCACACCUCGGCAGUUUUACCAGCCCAGCGCCUGGAGAGUGCUCGCGCAGGGGCGGGGCCGGCACGGUGUGACGUGCACAGAAGCUUAUACAGACUCCCUCACGCCCCUCAGCUGGUACCCCAGUCAUUGGCCGGUCGCAGGCCGCCUCCCAGCCGCCAGGUCCGCUUGCUGGACGCCGGCCAAGGGAGGCGGCGCGCCACGAGGGCUCGGGACUGAGCUGGCGAUGUUGUUUCCACUUCUGCUGCACAGCCGUUGACUUGAGUAGAUUACAGCCCCGGUGGGCAAGGAAGGGACCCUCACCGAUGUCCGGAACCCAGUGGAAGGGGAUGAGGGAUCCAAAGAUUGAGCUGAAAGAUGGGAAGACUGAGACGCCCCGCUUCUCCAGCUGGAAGGUCUGGGCAGAGACCGAAGUUCCCCUGGAGGCCUCCGGAUCCUGCUAGUCUCCCGGCGCUGAGUUCCGUCUCUACUAAUUUUGACAAGCGUUCGUAUUGCAACUACGACAGCCCUGUUUGUCUUUUAGGGAAAACAAGAUAAAGAAACUGAGGAAGAGAGCAGUAAGUAACUUGAUCAAGGCCACAGCUGGUAAGUUGGCAGAGAUGGAACUGGAAUGAAGUCUGUUUGGCACCAGUACUCCUUAAGACUCUUUGGAAUGUAAAACUCUUCCUGCAAACACCAACCAACCAAUCUAA
Molecule: long non-coding RNA, 1166 nt
Organism: Ictidomys tridecemlineatus (thirteen-lined ground squirrel)
Lineage: Eukaryota; Metazoa; Chordata; Mammalia; Rodentia; Sciuridae
Source: RefSeq, a predicted model, not a curated record